CCCUUUGGGUGUGACUGCGUACCUUUUGUAUAAUGGGUCAGCGACUUAUAUUCUGUAGCAAGGUUAACCGAAUAGGGGAGCCGGAGGGAAACCGAGUCUUAACCGGGCGUUAAGUUGCAGGGUAUAGACCCGAAACCCGGUGAUCUAGCCAUGGGCAGGUUGAAGGUUGGGUAACACUAACUGGAGGACCGAACCGACUAAUGUUGAAAAAUUAGCGGAUGACCUGUGGCUGGGGGUGAAAGGCCAAUCAAACCGGGAGAUAGCUGGUUCUCCCCGAAAGCUAUUUAGGUAGCGCCUCGUGAAUUCAUCUCCGGGGGUAGAGCACUGUUUCGGCUAGGGGGCCAUCCCGGCUUACCAACCCGAUGCAAACUGCGAAUACCGGAGAAUGUUAUCACGGGAGACACACGGCGGGUGCUAACGUCCGUCGUGAAGAGGGAAACAACCCAGACCGCCAGCUAAGGUCCCAAAGUCAUGGUUAAGUGGGAAACGAUGUGGGAAGGCCCAGACAGCCAGGAUGUUGGCUUAGAAGCAGCCAUCAUUUAAAGAAAGCGUAAUAGCUCACUGGUCGAGUCGGCCUGCGCGGAAGAUGUAACGGGGCUAAACCAUGCACCGAAGCUGCGGCAGCGACACUGUGUGUUGUUGGGUAGGGGAGCGUUCUGUAAGCCUGUGAAGGUGUGUCGUGAGGCAUGCUGGAGGUAUCAGAAGUGCGA
RNAcentral lists this ribosomal RNA (710 nucleotides) under Salmonella enterica. Its description in RNAcentral is "partial 23S ribosomal RNA". It matches the Rfam family "Bacterial large subunit ribosomal RNA", at positions 582 to 1293 of the family's 2925-position model. The record is from RNAcentral. Lineage: Bacteria; Pseudomonadati; Pseudomonadota; Gammaproteobacteria; Enterobacterales; Enterobacteriaceae.